AUUCCUACGGGGCGCAGCAGUCGGGAAUAUUGCGCAAUGGAGGAAACUCUGACGCAGUGACGCCGCGUAUAGGAAGAAGGUUUUCGGAUUGUAAACUAUUGUCGUGAGGGAAGAAAUUGACAGUACCUCAGGAGGAAGCUCCGGCUAACUCCGUGCCAGCAGCCGCGGUAAUACGGAGGAUUCAAGCGUUAUCCGGAUUUAUUGGGUUUAAAGGGUGCGUAGGCGGUCGGAUAAGUUAGAGGUGAAAUCCCGAGGCUCAACUUCGGAAUUGCCUCUGAUACUGUUCGGCUAGAGAGUAGUUGCGG
RNAcentral lists this ribosomal RNA (305 nucleotides) under uncultured bacterium. Its description in RNAcentral is "bacterial SSU rRNA". It matches the Rfam family "Bacterial small subunit ribosomal RNA", at positions 335 to 657 of the family's 1533-position model. The record is from RNAcentral.